AAUUAUGAAUAAAAAUUCGUAACAUUCAUAAUCCAUAACAGUUUUGAGCCAUUCCCCAUUCAUUGACUUUUUGAUAAACCUGUUUUAAAUAUUGAUUUUGGUGCCUUUUAGUCAGUCAUUGCUUGCAAGUGUAUAUCUUGUCAAUGGAUGCCAUUGGCAUGUAAGAUUGUAGCAAUUUCAGUAUCACUAUUAUAGCGCUGUCUGUCAUAUUUAUGCAAUUGUUGUUUGAACUUUUUCCUCUUGCCAAGAUUUUAUAAUGUGUAGUUCAUUUGGUGAGUU
RNAcentral lists this unclassified non-coding RNA (279 nucleotides) under Hevea brasiliensis (rubber tree). Lineage: Eukaryota; Viridiplantae; Streptophyta; Magnoliopsida; Malpighiales; Euphorbiaceae. The record is from RNAcentral.